This 328-nucleotide ribosomal RNA is filed under the name uncultured eukaryote. RNAcentral describes it as "partial 18S ribosomal RNA". It matches the Rfam family "Eukaryotic small subunit ribosomal RNA", at positions 1470 to 1796 of the family's 1831-position model. The record is from RNAcentral.
CCCUUAGAUGUUCUGGGCCGCACGCGCGCUACACUGAUGCAUUCAACGAGUUUCUUCCUGGUCCGAGAGGAAUGGGUAACCUUUUGAAAGUGCAUCGUGAUAGGGAUAGACUAUUGCAAUUAUUGGUCUCCAACGAGGAAUUCCUAGUAAACGCAAGUCAUCAGCUUGCAUUGAUUACGUCCCUGCCCUUUGUACACAUUGCCCGUCGCACCUACCGAUUGAAUGGUCCGGUGAAAUCUUCGGAUUGAGACUUUGUUUUCUUCACGGAAAACGCUGUUUUAAAAAGUUGAUUAAACCUUACCAUUUAGAGGAAGGUGAAGUCGUAACA